AUUGAACGCUGGCGGCAUGCUUUACACAUGCAAGUCGAACGGCAGCACGAGUGCUUGCACUUGGUGGCGAGUGGCGAACGGGUGAGUAAUACAUCGGAACGUGUCCUAAAGUGGGGGAUAACGCAUCGAAAGAUGUGCUAAUACCGCAUACGCUCUACGGAGGAAAGCGGGGGACCGCAAGGCCUCGCGCUAACAGAUGAGCCCAAGUCGGAUUAGCUAGUUGGUGGGGUAAAGGCCUACCAAGGCAACGAUCCGUAGCUGGUCUGAGAGGACGAUCAGCCACACUGGGACUGAGACACGGUCCAAACUCCUACGGGAGGCAGCAGUGGGGAAUAUUGCACAAUGGGCGAAAGCCUGAUGCAGCAACGCCGCGUGAGCGAUGAAGGCCCUCGGGUCGUAAAGCUCUGUCCUCAAGGAAGAUAAUGACGGUACUUGAGGAGGAAGCCCCGGCUAACUACGUGCCAGCAGCCGCGGU
RNAcentral lists this ribosomal RNA (475 nucleotides) under uncultured bacterium. RNAcentral describes it as "bacterial SSU rRNA". It matches the Rfam family "Bacterial small subunit ribosomal RNA", at positions 29 to 521 of the family's 1533-position model. The record is from RNAcentral.